Long non-coding RNA from Carassius auratus (goldfish), 374 nucleotides. RefSeq lists it as uncharacterized. The transcript is spliced from 3 exons. Lineage: Eukaryota; Metazoa; Chordata; Actinopteri; Cypriniformes; Cyprinidae. The record is from RefSeq and is a predicted model, not a curated record.
AAAGCGCCAGAGUGGCGUGGUAUACGUUACUUUUCUCAGCGCUGAUCAGGAUGGACCAAUCACAGUAGACUGUGAUCACUAAAUAUGAAAAGAGGUGCAAAAACCGUCAUUUUAUUUUUUAGAUUGCUGUGGCUGAUUUCUGUCUGUAAAUAAGCAGGCAGCAUGCGAUAACCACCAGCAGGACGGCGAUGGCGAGGCCCAGGAUGAUGGCGAUCACGAUGGCAGCUGAACAGAGACACGACAGUCACGUUACAUCAAUGCAUCUGGAUACAUCAGCAGAGUCAAAGAAAGGACCAAAAUGGACACCUCGUCCGAUCCUGUCUGACCAGCCUCAUCUGUGACCGUGAGUCUGAACUUAUACAUCCCCGGAGAAA